RNAcentral lists this ribosomal RNA (253 nucleotides) under uncultured bacterium. Its description in RNAcentral is "partial 16S ribosomal RNA". It matches the Rfam family "Bacterial small subunit ribosomal RNA", at positions 524 to 776 of the family's 1533-position model. The record is from RNAcentral.
CACGUAGGGGGCGAGCGUUGUCCGGAUUUAUUGGGCGUAAAGAGCGUGUAGGCGGCCAGGUAGGUCAGCUGUGAAAACUCGAGGCUCAACCUCGAGACGUCGGUUGAAACCACCUGGCUAGAGUCCGGAAGAGGAGAGUGGAAUUCCUGGUGUAGCGGUGAAAUGCGCAGAUAUCAGGAAGAACACCCGUGGCGAAGGCGGCUCUCUGGGACGGUACUGACGCUGAGACGCGAAAGCGUGGGGAGCGAACAGG